GACGAACGCUGGCGGCGUGCUUAACACAUGCAAGUCGAGCGGUAAGGCCCUUUCGGGGGUACGACGAGCGGCGAACGGGUGAGUAACACGUGGGUGACCUGCCCUUAGCUCUGGGAUAAGCCUGGGAAACUGGGUCUAAUACCGGAUAUGACUCCAUAACGCAUGUUGCGGGGUGGAAAGCCUUGUGCGGCUAGGGAUGGGCCCGCGGCCUAUCAGCUUGUUGGUGGGGUGAUGGCCACCAAGGCGACGACGGGUAGCCGGCCUGAGAGGGCGACCGGCCACACUGGGACUGAGACACGGCCCAGACUCCUACGGGAGGCAGCAGUGGGGAAUCUUGCGCAAUGGGCGAAAGCCUGACGCAGCGACGCCGCGUGGGGAUGACGGCC
RNAcentral lists this ribosomal RNA (386 nucleotides) under uncultured bacterium. RNAcentral describes it as "bacterial SSU rRNA". It matches the Rfam family "Bacterial small subunit ribosomal RNA", at positions 28 to 416 of the family's 1533-position model. The record is from RNAcentral.